GACGAACGCUGGCGGCGUGCUUAACACAUGCAAGUCGAACGGAAAGGCCCUGCUUUUGUGGGGUGCUCGAGUGGCGAACGGGUGAGUAACACGUGAGUAACCUCCCCUUGACUUUGGGAUAACUUCAGGAAACUGGGGCUAAUACCGGAUAGGAGCUCCUGCUGCAUGGUGGGGGUUGGAAAGUUUCGGCGGUUGGGGAUGGACUCGCGGCUUAUCAGCUUGUUGGUGGGGUAGUGGCUUACCAAGGCUUUGACGGGUAGCCGGCCUGAGAGGGUGACCGGCCACAUUGGGACUGAGAUACGGCCCAGACUCCUACGGGAGGCAGCAGUGGGGAAUAUUGCACAAUGGGCGGAAGCCUGAUGCAGCAACGCCGCGUGCGGGAUGACGGCCUUCGGGUUGUAAACCGCUUUCGCCUGUGACGAAGCGUGAGUGACGGUAAUGGAUAAAGAAGCACCGGCUAACUACGUG
RNAcentral lists this ribosomal RNA (468 nucleotides) under uncultured bacterium. RNAcentral's name for it is "partial 16S ribosomal RNA". It matches the Rfam family "Bacterial small subunit ribosomal RNA", at positions 28 to 507 of the family's 1533-position model. The record is from RNAcentral.